This 232-nucleotide long non-coding RNA is filed under the name Mytilus galloprovincialis (Mediterranean mussel). Lineage: Eukaryota; Metazoa; Mollusca; Bivalvia; Mytilida; Mytilidae. The record is from RNAcentral.
CUAUCAGAAAAGAACAUAAAAAUGAACGAAAACAAAUGCUUUCAAAAUUUUAGCUUUAGACAUUCGUCAUAGAAAAAAGCUUCUUCGGCAUUUUCAUAUAAUUGCAUUAUUAUAUUGCUCUGAAUAUACUCUUUUGAUUAUAAACAGAUUCUGUCCAACCUUCGUAAAAUUUCACGGAGAGUCAUUCAAAAGACUUUAUCCACAUUCGGAACCUAAAUAUUGACGCCGCUUU